CAAGGGUCCGGCUGUUCGCCGGUUAAAGCGGUACGUGAGCUGGGUUUAGAACGUCGCGAGACAGUUCGGUCUCUAUCUGUCAUGGGCGCAGGAGAUUUGAGUGGGGCUGUCCUUAGUACGAGAGGACCGGGAUGGACGCACCUCUGGUGUACGAGUUGUCGUGCCAACGGCAGCGCUCGGUAGCUACGUGCGGAAGGGAGAAACGCUGAAUGCAUCUAAGCGUGAAACCCUCCACAAGAUGAGAUCUCCCAGCCGUAAGGCUCUGAAGGCUCCUGGAAGACUACCAGGCGAUAGGUCGGGUGUGAAAGGCCAGCGAUGGCUGAAGCUAACCGAUACUAAUCAGCCGUGAGGCUUGACCAU
RNAcentral lists this non-coding RNA (360 nucleotides) under Acidobacteria bacterium RIFCSPLOWO2_12_FULL_66_21. RNAcentral's name for it is "bacterial LSU rRNA". It matches the Rfam family "Bacterial large subunit ribosomal RNA", at positions 2566 to 2925 of the family's 2925-position model. The record is from RNAcentral. Lineage: Bacteria; Pseudomonadati; Acidobacteriota.